RNAcentral lists this ribosomal RNA (201 nucleotides) under Triticum aestivum (bread wheat). RNAcentral describes it as "partial small subunit ribosomal RNA". Lineage: Eukaryota; Viridiplantae; Streptophyta; Magnoliopsida; Poales; Poaceae. The record is from RNAcentral.
AUGGCGGAGGAACCAUCCGCCAAGCGUCAUCAUGCCGAGACGUCGGACAAGAGCAGCAACCUCAUAGACAUUCACGUCCCCGGCGAGAAACGCGAGUACACAACAACUCUCAAAGGGGUUGAGCUCCACGGCAACGAGACGCUGGAGAUUGUCUGCACCAGCGUACCAGAAAAGGCCGACGAGGUGAUCUCGAGGCUCUAG